AAUAAAAUCCAUACUGCUUUUUUUACUUUCUUUUUUAUGCCCCCCACCCUCGGAGGCGGAAUUUCGGUGUAAAAACGAAAGUAAAAAUUCCAAAGCCUCCCACAUGGGAGGCUUUUUUAUA
This is a non-coding RNA of Shewanella halifaxensis HAW-EB4, 121 nucleotides long. The record is from Rfam. NCBI's taxonomy places the organism in Bacteria, Pseudomonadati, Pseudomonadota, Gammaproteobacteria, Alteromonadales, Shewanellaceae.